Molecule: ribosomal RNA, 651 nt
Filed under: uncultured archaeon
Lineage: Archaea
Description: bacterial SSU rRNA
Rfam family: Archaeal small subunit ribosomal RNA
Source: RNAcentral
GGUGCUUCUUCUUCGGAAGAAGUAACCCGGCGGACGGCUCAUUAACACGUGGAUAACUUGCCCUUGGGUCCGGGAUAACCCCUGAGAAAUUGGGGACAAUACCGGAUAGGGCAUCGAUAGCUGGAAUGCGCGAUGUCCAAAAGUUGAGGCGCCCAAGGAUAGGUCUGCGGCCGAUUAGGUUGUUGUUGAUGUAAUGGACCAACAAGCCUGCAAUCGGUACGGGUUGUGAGAGCAAGAGCCCGGAGAUGGGUUCUGAGAAAAGAACCCAGGUCCUACGGGACGCAUCAGGCGCGAAAACUUUACAAUGUGCGAAAGCACGAUAAGGGAACUCUGAGUGCCUCCUAUGGAGGCUGUUCAGGUGUCUAAAAAGCACUUGAAGUAAGGGCUGGGUAAGACCGGUGCCAGCCGCCGCGGUAACACCGGCAGCCCAAGUGGUAGCCACGAUUAUUGGGUCUAAAGCGUCCGUAGCCGGCCAGGUAAGUUCUUUGGGAAAUUUAACCCGCUCAACGGUUAAGCUUUCAGGGAAUACUGCUUGGCUUGGGACCGGGAGAGGUCAGAGGUACUUCAAGGGUAGGGGUGAAAUCCGUUAAUCCUUGAGGGACCACCAGUAGCGAAGGCGUGUGACCAGACCGGGUCCGACGGAGAGGGACG